GCAGCAAAAACAUGUUUACACGAGUCGAUUGGCUGCAAUAUAAACGCACAAAGAUUCACUGUCCAACUAUUAAGAGAGAAAAAGUCCAACUAUUAAGAGAGAAAAAGUCCAACUAUUAAGAGAGAAAGAAAAAGUCCAACUAUUAAGAGAGGAAAAAGUCCAACUAUUAAGAGAGAAAAAGUCCAACUAUUAAGAGAGG
Sander lucioperca (pikeperch) is the source of this 199-nucleotide long non-coding RNA. RefSeq lists it as uncharacterized. The transcript is spliced from 2 exons. The record is from RefSeq and is a predicted model, not a curated record. NCBI's taxonomy places the organism in Eukaryota, Metazoa, Chordata, Actinopteri, Perciformes, Percidae.